UACGGAGGGUGCAAGCGUUAUCCGGAUUUACUGGGUUUAAAGGGUGCGCAGGCGGAUAUGUAAGUCAGUGGUGAGAUCUCCGGGCUUAACCCGGAAACUGCCGUUGAUACUAUAUAUCUUGAAUGCUGUGGAGGUAAGCAGAAUAUGUCAUGUAGCGGUGAAAUGCUUAGAGAUGACAUAGAAUACCUAUUGCGAAGGCAGCUAACUACGCGAUAAUUGACGCUCAUGCACGAAAGCGUGGGGAUCAAACAGG
This 253-nucleotide ribosomal RNA is filed under the name uncultured bacterium. RNAcentral's name for it is "partial 16S ribosomal RNA". It matches the Rfam family "Bacterial small subunit ribosomal RNA", at positions 524 to 776 of the family's 1533-position model. The record is from RNAcentral.